CAGUAGCCGCGGUAAUACGUAGGGUGCAAGCGUUAUCCGGAAUUAUUGGGCGUAAAGAGCUCGUAGGCGGUUUGUCGCGUCUUCUGUGAAAACUGGAGGCUCAACCUCCAGCCUGCAGUGGGUACGGGCAAACUAGAGUGCGGUAGGGGAGAUUGGAAUUCCUGGUGUAGCGGUGGAAUGCGCAGAUAUCAGGAGGAACACCGAUGGCGAAGGCAGAUCUCUGGGCCGUAACUGACGCUGAGGAGCGAAAGCAUGGGGAGCGAACAGGAUUAGAUACCCCGGUAGUCCCUGUCUCUUAUAC
Molecule: ribosomal RNA, 301 nt
Filed under: uncultured bacterium
Lineage: Bacteria
Description: partial 16S ribosomal RNA
Rfam family: Bacterial small subunit ribosomal RNA
Source: RNAcentral